This 509-nucleotide ribosomal RNA is filed under the name uncultured bacterium. RNAcentral's name for it is "partial 16S ribosomal RNA". It matches the Rfam family "Bacterial small subunit ribosomal RNA", at positions 899 to 1397 of the family's 1533-position model. The record is from RNAcentral.
ACUCAAAGGAAUUGACGGGGGCCUGCACAAGCGGUGGAGUAUGUGGCUCAAUUCGAUGCAACGCGAAGAACCUUACCUGGCCUUGACAUGCAAGUGGUAGAAGCCCGAAAGGGUGACGACCCCGCAAGGGGAGCUUGCACAGGUGCUGCAUGGCUGUCGUCAGCUCGUGUCGUGAGAUGUUGGGUUAAGUCCCGCAACGAGCGCAACCCUUGCGUCCUGUUGCCACCCCUACGAGAGUAGGGAGCACUCUGGACGGACUGCCUCGCUUCAACGGGGAGGAAGGUGGGGAUGACGUCAAGUCAGUAUGGCCCUUACGGCCAGGGCUGCACACGUACUACAAUGCCCGGUACAGAGGGAUGCCAAACCGGAAGGUGGAGCAAAUCUCCCAAAAACCGGGCCCAGUUCAGAUUGAGGUCUGCAACUCGACCUCAUGAAGCCGGAAUCGCUAGUAAUGGCGCAUCAGCUACGGCGCCGUGAAUACGUUCCCAGGCCUUGUACACACCGCCCGU